AGGAGCUUAGGAUAAUUUAGACCAAGGGCCUUCAAAGCCCUAAGCGAGAGUGAAAGUCUCUCAGCUCCUG
RNAcentral lists this transfer RNA (70 nucleotides) under Opistognathus jacksoniensis (southern smiler). RNAcentral's name for it is "tRNA-Trp". It matches the Rfam family "tRNA". From Rfam's summary of the family: Transfer RNA (tRNA) molecules are approximately 80 nucleotides in length. Their secondary structure includes four short double-helical elements and three loops (D, anti-codon, and T loops). The record is from RNAcentral. Lineage: Eukaryota; Metazoa; Chordata; Actinopteri; Opistognathidae.